GUCUGUUGCGUUUUCUCCGGUGUC
This 24-nucleotide non-coding RNA is filed under the name Arabidopsis thaliana (thale cress). The record is from RNAcentral. Lineage: Eukaryota; Viridiplantae; Streptophyta; Magnoliopsida; Brassicales; Brassicaceae.